GGAGACGUGCCAGAGCGGCCGAAUGGGGCUCACUGCUAAUGAGUUGUCUACUUAACGGUGGACCGGAGGUUCAAAUCCUCUCGUCUCCGCAA
This 92-nucleotide transfer RNA is filed under the name Corynebacterium sp. SY003. RNAcentral's name for it is "tRNA-Ser". It matches the Rfam family "tRNA". Rfam says of the family: Transfer RNA (tRNA) molecules are approximately 80 nucleotides in length. Their secondary structure includes four short double-helical elements and three loops (D, anti-codon, and T loops). Further hydrogen bonds mediate the characteristic L-shaped molecular structure. tRNAs have two regions of fundamental functional importance: the anti-codon, which is responsible for specific mRNA codon recognition, and the 3' end, to which the tRNAs corresponding amino acid is attached (by aminoacyl-tRNA synthetases). tRNAs cope with the degeneracy of the genetic code in two manners: having more than one tRNA (with a specific anti-codon) for a particular amino acid; and 'wobble' base-pairing, i.e. permitting non-standard base-pairing at the 3rd anti-codon position. RNAcentral also lists the same sequence under 2 other names. The record is from RNAcentral. Lineage: Bacteria; Bacillati; Actinomycetota; Actinomycetes; Mycobacteriales; Corynebacteriaceae.